Molecule: unclassified non-coding RNA, 645 nt
Filed under: uncultured Prochlorococcus sp.
Lineage: Bacteria; Bacillati; Cyanobacteriota; Cyanophyceae; Synechococcales; Prochlorococcaceae
Description: partial 16S-23S ribosomal RNA intergenic spacer; may also contain 16S ribosomal RNA and 23S ribosomal RNA
Rfam family: tRNA (bases 304-376)
Source: RNAcentral
UUGUGGAGGAGGACGCCGAAGGUGGGGCUAAUGACUGGGGUGAGGUCGUAACAAGGUAGCCGUACCGGAAGGUGCGGCUGGAUCACCUCCUAACAGGGAGACAACAAAAUGUUUAUAUUAUUAUUUUGUCACCUUAGGUCGAUCGGUAUCUCACAUUCUUAAUUAAUUAAGAAUUUCAUUUCCUAAGUUUUUCUAGGUCACACCCAUUAUUUUUCCUGGGCCAUUAGCUCAGGUGGUUAGAGCGCACCCCUGAUAAGGGUGAGGUCCCUGGUUCAAGUCCAGGAUGGCCCAUAUCUCUAUGUUGGGGGUAUAGCUCAGUUGGUAGAGCGCCUGCUUUGCAAGCAGGAUGUCAGCGGUUCGAGUCCGCUUACCUCCACUGAUUACCACCUCUUCCAUAAUCUGUAGAAAGGAAAAUUUUUGAGUUGUGAUCAUAAUUCUGAACGAAUCUAGCUUCCUAAUGAAAUCAUUAAGAUGCUGGACUCAUUGAAUUAAUUUCAUUGUUUUCAGAGAACCUUGACAACUGCAUAGAUUAUUUUUAAAGACAAUAAGCAUCUUUAUGAUGCAGAUUUAUUAUUUGUGCGAAUGCAUUAAUAACAAUUCUAUUAAGCUAAUACUUCAAUCUUGAAGUUAUUGGUCAAGCUACAA